UCGGCAGCUCCCGGUCGGGCCGCCUCUUACGUGCUUUCAAAUACUUCCGGGGCUUUCCUUCUGCCACUUGUGGUUAGAAGAUAAUAAUAACAACAGGAAACUCUAACCGUGAACCUCCCUGUACCACCGCUGAUAAUCUCUCGGUGCCUCCGCGGCCAGAGGGCCUCACACACCCCGUCUGUGGUCUCCCGUCGCUCUGGCCUUGUGCCACCGCGUCGGCCUUCUUUCCUGUCGGAGGCCUGUGCCCACCCCAGCGGACUUCUUUUGCAGGGUAGCUGCCUUUUCUGUCUCGUUGCUUUCCAGAUGUCUGUCUUUAGGGCUGUGCUUCUCCCUCUGUGAGCUGGGUCUUACUUGUUGGCUCUGAGCUCCUGACUCAGGUCUCACCUCUGUCAUCGGCUCCAGAACCUGCCCGCCCACCGGCUCUUUAGCUGCCGGGAGCUCUGGUUCAGCAUUCGGUACGCCAGCUUUCUCCGCCAUUCACCAGCUCUUUUAUUUUUAAACCUGUUUCUUCAUGUUUAUUUAUUUGGAGAGAGAGUGAGCGUGAGCAGGGGAGGGGCAGAGAGAAAGGGAGAGACAGAAUCCAACUCAGGCCCCUCACUGUCAGCCCAGAGCCUGACUCGGGGCUUGAGCCCACGAACCGCGAAAUCUUGAUCUGGGCCAAAAUCAAGAGUCGGACGCUUAACCGACUGAGCCAGCCGGUCACCUCUGCCCUUCACCAGCUCUUGAAAAAAGAUUGUUCCUAUUUUUCAGGAGCUCAGACCUUCUGGGUGUCGUAUUUUGCCUGAAAUAACUGACAGUUACACUGUGGACUUUUCUUUCUCCCCUUCUUGCUCUUUUCUGGUGAGUCCCCAGGGGCCAAGGGGCAGCUUUAAGUUCUCAGUGCCCUAGGAUUCUCCGAGGAAAGGUGCAGAAAUGUCUCUUCCCUGGAAGUUGACUGCCAGAAGAUUCCUUUGUGAGAAAACAAGGACUUGACUUUAACGCAACCUGGGGAGUUGGCCGUUAUGUGUGAGAGUUCCUCUGGCUUCUGAUUUCAUACGUGUUCUCAAGAACUUCUGGAGAACCUGGGUCGUGGUUGUUUGACUGGCUGGGAUUUCCCCUGGGAUGCCACGUUAGAAGGGAGCAGAUGGAGAAUUGAAAGAAGGAUAGUUGUAUUGGAAUUUCAGGAUCAUCCUGUUAGUGUCUGUCGGAUGUUGAUGACGAGGCGUGUUGUUGAGUUAAUCACAAUGUAAUGCUUUGUAUCCUGGACUCCCGUGCGCUGCUCCCCUACCCCGCGAGAGCUGUGUGCAUUUGCUGCUUCCGUGAGGAUGAUGAGACUUCGUAAGAACAAAAACAAAAGAGUGGGAGCAGAUGAGCACGUCCCAGCGAGAGGUCCCAGUGAGAGGCCCCAGCGAGAGGUCCCAGGGAGAGGUCCCAGGGAGAGGCCCCAGCGAGAGGUCCCAGGGAGAGGUCCCAGCGAGAGGCCCCAGGGAGAGGUCCCAGCGAGAGGCCCCAGCGAGAGGCCCCAGCGAGAGGUCCCAGCGAGAGGCCCCAGCGAGAGGUCCCAGGGAGAGGCCCCAGG
Molecule: long non-coding RNA, 1558 nt
Organism: Panthera uncia (snow leopard)
Lineage: Eukaryota; Metazoa; Chordata; Mammalia; Carnivora; Felidae
Exons: 3
Source: RefSeq, a predicted model, not a curated record